CGGAGGAUGCGAGCGUUAUCCGGAAUUAUUGGGUUUAAAGGGUGCGUAGGUUGCAAGGGAAGUCAGGGGUGAAAAGCUGUAGCUCAACUAUGGUCUUGCCUUUGAAACUCUCUAGCUAGAGUGUACUGGAGGUACGUGGAACGUGUGGUGUAGCGGUGAAAUGCAUAGAUAUCACACAGAACUCCGAUUGCGCAGGCAGCGUACUACAUUACAACUGACACUGAAGCACGAAAGCGUGGGUAUCCAACAGGAUU
Molecule: ribosomal RNA, 254 nt
Filed under: uncultured bacterium
Lineage: Bacteria
Description: partial 16S ribosomal RNA
Rfam family: Bacterial small subunit ribosomal RNA
Source: RNAcentral